CGUAAUGUAGCUUAAUUAAAGCAUUUCGCUUACACCGAAAAAAUAUCCGUGAAAAUCAGACCUUUACGA
Molecule: transfer RNA, 69 nt
Filed under: Rhinella magnussoni
Lineage: Eukaryota; Metazoa; Chordata; Amphibia; Anura; Bufonidae
Description: tRNA-Val
Rfam family: tRNA
About the family: Transfer RNA (tRNA) molecules are approximately 80 nucleotides in length.
Source: RNAcentral